CCUGGUGUCUAUGGCGGUGUGGAACCACUCUGAUCCGUCUCGAACUCAGUAGUGAAAUGCAUAUGCGGCGAAGAUAGUUGGACGGUUGCGUCCUGCAAAAAUAGCUCGAUGCCAGGU
Molecule: ribosomal RNA, 117 nt
Filed under: Leptolyngbyaceae cyanobacterium RU_5_1
Lineage: Bacteria; Bacillati; Cyanobacteriota; Cyanophyceae; Leptolyngbyales; Leptolyngbyaceae
Source: RNAcentral